AACAGGUUAAGCUGACGAGUGGCGAACGGGUGAGUAAUGUAUCGGAACGUGCCCAGUCGUGGGGGAUAACUGCUCGAAAGAGCAGCUAAUACCGCAUACGACCUGAGGGUGAAAGCGGGGGAUCGCAAGACCUCGCGCGAUUGGAGCGGCCGAUAUCAGAUUAGGUAGUUGGUGAGGUAAAGGCUCACCAAGCCGACGAUCUGUAGCUGGUCUGAGAGGACGACCAGCCACACUGGGACUGAGACACGGCCCAGACUCCUACGGGAGGCAGCAGUGGGGAAUUUUGGACAAUGGGCGCAAGCCUGAUCCGGCCAUGCCGCGUGCGGGAAGAAGGCCUUCGGGUUGUAAACCGCUUUUGUCAGGGAAGAAAAGGUUCUGGCUAAUACCUGGGACUCAUGACGGUACCUGAAGAAUAAGCACCGGCUAACUACGUGCCAGCAGCCGCGGUAAUACGUAGGGUGCAAGCGUUAAUCGGAAUUACUGGGCGUAAAGCGUGCGCAGGCGGUUAUGCAAGACAGAGGUGAAAUCCCCGGGCUCAACCUGGGAACUGCCUUUGUGACUGCAUGGCUAGAGUACGGUAGAGGGGGAUGGAAUUCCGCGUGUAGCAGUGAAAUGCGUAGAUAUGCGGAGGAACACCGAUGGCGAAGGCAAUCCCCUGGACCUGUACUGACGCUCAUGCACGAAAGCGUG
RNAcentral lists this ribosomal RNA (690 nucleotides) under uncultured Roseateles sp. RNAcentral's name for it is "bacterial SSU rRNA". It matches the Rfam family "Bacterial small subunit ribosomal RNA", at positions 77 to 763 of the family's 1533-position model. Lineage: Bacteria; Pseudomonadati; Pseudomonadota; Betaproteobacteria; Burkholderiales; Sphaerotilaceae. The record is from RNAcentral.